This 491-nucleotide ribosomal RNA is filed under the name uncultured bacterium. Its description in RNAcentral is "bacterial SSU rRNA". It matches the Rfam family "Bacterial small subunit ribosomal RNA", at positions 164 to 670 of the family's 1533-position model. The record is from RNAcentral.
UGAUACCGCAUAACAUUGUAGUUUCGCAUGAAACAGCAAUUAAAGGAGUAAUCCGCUAUGAGAUGGACCCGCGGCGCAUUAGCUAGUUGGUGAGGUAACGGCUCACCAAGGCGACGAUGCGUAGCCGACCUGAGAGGGUGAUCGGCCACAUUGGAACUGAGACACGGUCCAGACUCCUACGGGAGGCAGCAGUGGGGAAUAUUGCACAAUGGGGGAAACCCUGAUGCAGCAACGCCGCGUGAGUGAUGAAGGCCUUCGGGUUGUAAAGCUCUGUCUUUGGGGACGAUAAUGACGGUACCCAAGGAGGAAGCCACGGCUAACUACGUGCCAGCAGCCGCGGUAAUACGUAGGUGGCAAGCGUUGUCCGGAUUUACUGGGCGUGAAGGGAGCGUAGGCGGACAUUUAAGUGGGAUGUGAAAUACUCGGGCCUAACCUGAGUGCUGCAUUCCAAAACUGGAUAUCUAGAGUGCAGUAGAGGAAAGUAGAAUUCC